CUCCAACAAGCAAACCACAUCUCUACAGAAUUAACAUAUAUCUCUUUCCACAACUGUGUCUUUUAUCAUCCGCCGUUUCUGCAAUUUUUUUUCUUCUCCUCCGUAAAGUGUGAAGGAGCAGAGAAAGCCGUGAUUUGUUUCAAUACCUUCUGCUUGUGCAAUUUUUGCUUCUUUCUAAAGGGGAACUUGGGCACGUUGUUGCGGUUGGAACAAGAAAGUGUCGAUGAGUUAAGCAUUUGAGGUUGAGCUGUGACGAGCACGGUGGGUGUUGAGCAGAGCUGGUAAAGAUUUGUGUUUGCUUUUAAUAUUCCGAAUAUAUUGUGUCUUCAUACAUAAUAUUAUUCUUCUCUCGAAAUGCUUCCGCUAAAUAUUGUUUCUUUUGAGUUCGUGUAUUGUUGAGAUAUUUUCAUUUGGAGUUGUCGAUUGU
Molecule: long non-coding RNA, 427 nt
Organism: Salvia splendens (bonfire salvia)
Lineage: Eukaryota; Viridiplantae; Streptophyta; Magnoliopsida; Lamiales; Lamiaceae
Exons: 4
Source: RefSeq, a predicted model, not a curated record